GCAUCUAGAGGCAGUGCCACUAAUUAGCACACUUUUCUAGCAAGCUGAUCACGCAAAAGAGGCUACAGAAACAAAACUCUCUUUCAAAAGCAAUGCCUGAGGACUGCAGAAAAGUAGCACAGAAAUUUGUGGUCUUUAAUAACAAGGCUCGUUCUAUAUAGGACACCUGAAUUUCCAGGAAUGUCCUGGUACAGCUGGUACAUUUCAUAUGUGUAAAAGCUGUAAUUCUUGAAAAGCUGCAGGACCUCAUCUUUACCAAAAGGCUCAUCAGAAUGAGUGCAAUCAUAAUUUGGAGUUAAAUUGCGUUAUUUUUUUUCCAAAUAAUUUUUAAAUCCUUACUUGCCUUUUUGCAUAGUGUGCCUGGAAAGUUGCAUAAAGUGUGUUCUUGAGGGCUGCACCUAAUUAUAUUGGGCAUCCAGAAAUAGGUGCAUCUGACUCAGAAUUUCUGCAUGCUUUGCCAGCCAAUCAAACCAUAAGACAUGCAAGCUAUGGUUAAAUUAAGCAAUAAGACACCGCAAGCUGCAAGUUGUGACUUAUCGGCACACAACACACCGCAAAGAAGAUCACAACAGGAAACAGUUCUAAGGUAGUAGCUGUCCUCAGCCCAGCUAAGAAUAUCAUCAUUACUGUGGCUCUGUGCACUUUGAGUCAGAGGACCUACUAUGCUGACCCUGAACAUCACAAGAGAGGACAAAACAUAAAAUCAGGGUAAUUGAGGAACAGUUUUGAUUUUUAUGGCAAAGCAGUAUUUCUCCUGGACCACUGUUGUUAAAGUCGGAAAAAAAGGAGAGUACAAAUGAGGGAACUGAAGAAAUCAAGCCUGAAGAGUAAAACAUCAAACAAUAUUUUGCUAAGAUUUUUUUCAGAAAUCACUUCCCAGCCUUUUUCCAUUCAGAAUGUGAAAGGAUGAGAAGAAGAUCAUAUUGGGUCACACAUCCAUCUAGCCCUGUAUCUUAUCUCCUCCAGCAAUGACCAGUGGAGAAGGCCCAUGGAAACAUCAAUACAGGUCAUGCAAAGUGAUACGCACCUGGCCCUGCAAUUUGUGAUUCAGAAGCUUCCAGAGCAAAAAGUGAUGGCUUUGUAACAAUAAGGACAUUGCUGCAACAAAUACCAAAGAUUUCUGCACACAAUUUAUUAAAAACAAGUCAGUAAGAAACAGCAACUUCAUUAUUCCUGAAAUAAAUCCAAUGUGUAAAAAUCAGGAAACUUAUGCAACUAAUUUUAGCAAUAAAAACAGUAUCAAGA
This is a long non-coding RNA of Tympanuchus pallidicinctus (lesser prairie-chicken), 1245 nucleotides long. RefSeq lists it as uncharacterized. NCBI's taxonomy places the organism in Eukaryota, Metazoa, Chordata, Aves, Galliformes, Phasianidae. The record is from RefSeq and is a predicted model, not a curated record. The transcript has 3 exons.